UUUUACAAAUGCAGUUAAAAGGCCAGUUCAGAUUCAUGAAUUUUUGCUAUAACUGGGAUCAGAAUUAUUGUAAGCACUAAAAUGGUGCCUUUUCUUUUCUUUUGUUUGUCACAUAUAAGAUGUAGAUCUGUGCUCUUUUGAUUAACCCCCAAUUCCAAAGACAUAUAAGUUAUCUCAUGAGACGCUGCUUGACGACAAUCUAUGGGUUUGUUUUUUUUUUUUUUUGGUUUUAAAAGAGAGGACAACAAUGAUACGCCUUUUAAUCCCUUUUGAGUAGUUGAAUUUUCUGGACCUUUUCAUUCUUUACCAUACAAGAGUACAACAUUUUUCCUUUUUUUUCUGGUGUGUCAGGAAGAUAAGAUGCGGCAGGAACACUAAGUAAACUGAAUUCUACAUUUGGCUUAUAUUAUAUUGAAUUUGCGUCAAUGUGUGUCUUUACCUUUUUCUGUUUUCAUAAUACCUACUGCAUAUAUUCUUCAGCCAGUGUAAAUGCCACUACCAUCUGGUGGGUGGGUGGAGGUGAAGUCGAUGGUGAUUUCGAUACCCGCUUAGACCCAAAACUGCCCAUUUCGCCAACUUCCUCUCUAGGCCCAUGCCAAAGCCUUUUGACUUUCUUAAGGGCUGGGAGAUUGUGGCGGUUUUUUUGUUUUGUUUUGUUUUUUUUUUUAAUACACUUGAAUUUGUUUUAAAUUUGAAUAAAGCAAAAUGUAUGUUUAGGAUAGUUGGUCUCUUAAUUAGUGUCUCAAAUAUUAAGGUUUUUA
Molecule: long non-coding RNA, 761 nt
Filed under: Vitis vinifera (wine grape)
Lineage: Eukaryota; Viridiplantae; Streptophyta; Magnoliopsida; Vitales; Vitaceae
Description: long non-coding RNA (VVIN_LNC000488)
Source: RNAcentral